Molecule: ribosomal RNA, 419 nt
Filed under: Klebsiella pneumoniae
Lineage: Bacteria; Pseudomonadati; Pseudomonadota; Gammaproteobacteria; Enterobacterales; Enterobacteriaceae
Description: bacterial SSU rRNA
Rfam family: Bacterial small subunit ribosomal RNA
Source: RNAcentral
AACCUGGGAACUGCAUUCGAAACUGGCAGGCUAGAGUCUUGUAGAGGGGGGUAGAAUUCCAGGUGUAGCGGUGAAAUGCGUAGAGAUCUGGAGGAAUACCGGUGGCGAAGGCGGCCCCCUGGACAAAGACUGACGCUCAGGUGCGAAAGCGUGGGGAGCAAACAGGAUUAGAUACCCUGGUAGUCCACGCCGUAAACGAUGUCGAUUUGGAGGUUGUGCCCUUGAGGCGUGGCUUCCGGAGCUAACGCGUUAAAUCGACCGCCUGGGGAGUACGGCCGCAAGGUUAAAACUCAAAUGAAUUGACGGGGGCCCGCACAAGCGGUGGAGCAUGUGGUUUAAUUCGAUGCAACGCGAAGAACCUUACCUGGUCUUGACAUCCACAGAACUUUCCAGAGAUGGAUUGGUGCCUUCGGGAACUG